CAGUAGCCGCGGUAAUACGAAGGGUGCAAGCGUUAAUCGGAAUUACUGGGCGUAAAGCGUGCGUAGGCGGUUUGUUAAGUCUGUUGUGAAAUCCCCGGGCUCAACCUGGGAAUGGCAAUGGAUACUGGCAAGCUAGAGUGUGUCAGAGGAUGGUGGAAUUCCCGGUGUAGCGGUGAAAUGCGUAGAGAUCGGGAGGAACAUCAGUGGCGAAGGCGGCCAUCUGGGACAACACUGACGCUGAGGCACGAAAGCGUGGGGAGCAAACAGGAUUAGAGACCCCUGUAGUCCCUGUCUCUUAUAC
This 301-nucleotide ribosomal RNA is filed under the name uncultured bacterium. Its description in RNAcentral is "partial 16S ribosomal RNA". It matches the Rfam family "Bacterial small subunit ribosomal RNA", at positions 509 to 807 of the family's 1533-position model. The record is from RNAcentral.